GGCGAGGGGGGUGGAGCGGCCGCCGCCAAUAUCAUCGUCGUCGUCGUUGACGGACGGACGGACGUCGGUCGGAGUAGGAGCGUCGCCGGGAAAGAGCCGCUGAGUGGCUAAAACGAUGUCCCUUCAACCAUGGGCCAAAAAAUCUGCAUCUGCUCUCGUGGGAUAAUCACCAUCGACAAUAAGCGUUACUUCUUUAUUCAAAAUCUGGACGAAGGGGGUUUCAGCUAUGUGGAUCUGGUGGAGAGCGUUCAGGACGGCAAGUUCUACGCCUUGAAACGUAUCAUCUGCCACGACAAAGAGGACCGGAAGAAUGCUCUCACCGAGGUGGAGAUGCACCGAAUUUUCAGCCAUCCAAAUGUCCUGCCCCUGGAAGGGUACAGCAUCGUGGACAAAAGUCCAAAGUGUGAAACUUGGCUGCUCCUGCCCUACAUUCAGAAUGGCUCACUUUGGACAGUGCUUGAGAAGUUGAGAGAUGCUCAUAACUUCAUGCCUGAAGAGCAGAUCCUGAACAUCUUUCUAGGACUCUGCAAGGGACUGAAGGCCAUCCAUGACAAGGGCUACGCGCACAGGGAUGUGAAGCCCACCAACGUUCUCCUAGAUGACAAUCUGCAGCCCAUGCUGAUGGACCUGGGAUCGAUGAACAAAGCAAAAAUUGAAGUCAAAGGGUCACGGGAAGCUAUGACAAUCCAGGACUGGGCAGCACAGCGAUGUACCAUAUCCUACCGAGCCCCUGAGCUCUUUACUGUGGAAAGUCACUGCAUUAUAGAUGAGCGCACAGACAUAUGGUCCCUGGGAUGUGUGCUGUACGCAAUGAUGUUCCUGGAAGGACCGUACGAUGGUAUCUUCCAGAAAGGGGAUUGUGUCGCUUUGGCUGUACAGAACCCAAUAACCAUUCCAGAAAACUGCAGGUACACACAGUCUCUGCAACAUCUGCUAAGCUCUAUGAUGGUUGUUAACCUCCAAGAGAGACCGAAUAUAUCCUGGGUGUUGAACCAGACUGAGCAACUGCAGCCCGCGGGAUCCGUCCAGGAGACCAAAAUUGUCUGAUCUUGGCCGUGCAAACCUGGAGGGGCUCCAUCUGUUGAAUUUAUCAUCUGUCAGACUUGCACCAUUUCUCCACGGGGGGUAAAGCGCCGAACAGCCUACCUUCAGCAUGUCUGUCACCAGGGCAGGACCCUGUGAGAUCCCACACCAUCUUCCACUCAACGUUCUUUCGAUUUUCGAUGGGGAAAUCGAGUGGAUGAAAUCGCACAUUCUUCACCACUUUCCCUCAGGAAUUGGCUGCUUCUUUUGUUCCGUUUCUUCCUCUCGUCUCGUCAUCAUAGCCACUGAAUCACUCUGUAGCUGCUAUGAUUCCACGCAGACGUUAUGCGCACGGCGUCCUGGUGGAGAAAUGGCCUCGCCGUGUGUGAGAGACUUGAACUUUUUUUCCCUUUCAGUCACGAUCCUGGAGAAUAUUUCCGCCAGCGUUCACCAGCUAUGAAGUUAUCGCAACUGGAGUGCACUGAUCCCGACUGCACUCUCAGGGGAUAAGUGAAAGAGUGGCCUUGCAAUGCUAAACUCUGCACAAGCAGUGCAAAUAGGACACAAUAUAUGAAGGUAGACUUCAACAGCAAACUCUGCUUCCUGGUUGUUAGUUCCAGAGAACUAACUGAAUAAGGAUUAUACUUCAAUGACAAGUGUGGAAACCUCUCAGCUAUCUUUUGCACUUCAUCCUUGCAAACUCCACCUGGUCUUGCAUAUAGAGGUUAGGGGUUGGUUUUAAUUUGUGUUGCAUGCUUACUUUGGGACCCUAAGGGUCAUGGCAACCAUCUCUCUAAUAUUUUGCAAGACUUUUUUUGAAUUGGAUAAGGUCUUUUUUUCACCCCCUAUCUUUCACCCCAAAACCCUUCCCCACUUGCACAGCACGACUAAGUUCUGGACUUGAAAUCAGCGCAGUGAUUCUGGUUUCAGAAUGAGCAAGUGUGAAUCCAGCCACGGCUCAGCAAACUGCGAGGAAGCCGAGCCUAGGAUCUCUUCAAAUCAAAGCAGAUAGAUGGAAGACGAACCAGGGGCGGCUCGGUGGCACAGCGGUAGAGUUGCUGCCUCGCAGCGCCAGAGACCCAGGUUCGAUCCUGACUACGAGUGCUGUCUGUACGGAGUUUGUAGGUUCUCCCCAUGACCGCGUGGAUAUUCUCUGAAAUCUUUGGUUUCCUCCCACACUCCAAAGACCUGCAGGUUUGUAGGUUAAUUGGCUUGGUAUAAGUGUAAAUUGUCCCUAAUGUGUGUAGGGUGAUGUUAAUGUGUGGGGAUCGCCACUUGGUGUGGACUCGGAGGGCCGAAGGGCCUGUUUCCGCGCUGUAUCUUUUUAAAAAAACAAAUUUUCCUCAAUGCUGCACCACCCUUUCAGGAAAUACCACCUCCAACUCUGUUCACUCCUUUCUGCGGGAGCUUCUUUAGACCGAUCCCUGCCACUUUACGAGCAUUUAUUCCACGUCUGUUCAAGUUUAAGAGCCAUGUCUUUUGGGAAUGCCCACUUGCCCGUUUGCCACCUGCGAUUGAUUGAGUCAUUUCCACAAACAGAAGUGCGAAAGCUUUCAGUCAAACUUUUCUGCAGAAAGCUUUCAGUUCCUUGUUGGAACUUGUACGCGCAGAGGCCUGUUAGUAGUUAACAUAUUUCUUCCUUCCGCUGCAUUGUACUCCACCCUCUGAACCUCGAUCAGUUCUAAGCAACAGUGUAUUGAACGCUAGAAAAUAGCAGGAGUGGGCCACCUGUUCUACUAUUCACAAUAAUCAUGGCAUUUCUGCCCCAAACUUCAAUACCUUUAUCAGUGCCAAUUCCACAUUACCCUCAAUUCCUUGGUCUUUCAAAAAUUUAAGUAACUCUUCUUUUUAAAUAACUUUUAAAUAUCUUUUGAAUUAACUUUUAAAAGGGCGGCAAGGUGGCGGAGCAGUAGAGUUGCUGCCUUACAGCGCCAGAUGUCGUGGUUCAAUCUUGACUACGGGUGCCAUCUGUACGGGGUUUGUGUGUACUCCUCGUGACCUGCGUGGAUUUUCUCUGGGAGCUCCAAUUUCCUCCCAUAUUCCAAAUACGUGCAGGUUUGUAGGUCAAUUGACUUUGGUAAAAUUGUAAAUUGUUCCUAGUGUGUGUGUAGGAUAGUGUUGGUGUGCGAGGAUCGCUGGUAGGCGCAGACUCGGUUGGCCGAAGGGCCUGUUUCCGGAUGCUGCAUCUCUAAACUAAACUACAUCUGAAAAAAGGAUUGAGAUGCAGAGCAUGUUUAUCAGUGCCUAAAAAAAGGUGAGCAGCAUGGUGCUGUGAGCCAUCAGAGGCCUGCAUAGUUGAUUAGUCUUUCUAUUUUGGCUCAUAUGGAGGAUCUAGAAAAUGGAGAGGAAGAGACAUUUAUCUUAUUUUAUUUUUAUCAUGGAGAGACAUCCUUUCUGAAGGACUCGUGAUUACUUGCUGCCUUUAAUUAUUGGAAGAAAUGUGAGUGUUUCGUUUUUAAUGUGGAGCAGGCGGAUAGAGGUACUAAAUGCUGCAAACGACAAUUCCCAAUUCAGCUUAAAAAUGCAGUGCAAAUUUAAAGAAGGAAAACCUUAGGACUUUAAUGUACAAUGGAUGUUGCAAUGGUGCUAUGGAAGCCAAACUCCUGGAGUUGUUGUAUGUAGUGAAUAGGAACUGUACCAUUUACUGUAUGGGCUUUUCUAUAAUGUUUCAAUGUGUUGCAACACAGCUCUAGACGCCCGGGUUCGAUUCUGACCUCGGGUGCUGCCUAUGUGGAGUUUGCACGUUCUCCCUGUGAUUGUAUCCCAAAGACGUGUGGGUCUCUAGGUGAAUUGGCUUCUGCAAAAUUGCCUCGCACGUGUAGGGAGUGGAUGCGAAAGUGGGGAUAACACACAGAACUAGUGUGAGCGGGUGAUCGCUGGUCAGCGUGGACUCGGUUGGCCAAAGGGCCUGUUUCCAUGCUGUAUCUCUAAAAUUAAAUCUAUUAUAGAGUAAUAAAGCAGAGAAGGAAGCCAUUCAUUCACCUUUGCGACCCCACUUUGAAAGAGCCUUGUAAUUAGUCCUAUCCCCAUUAAAUCAGGUUCUGUUAACUCGGUAAAAUGUCUCACAAUAUUAGAAGCUGGGAGUAUUUUGUACAGUCACCAAUAAUGCUGCAUCAUUCAGCAAGAUCGUCGACAACCCUGUAGCUCUGCAUUUUCCUGCCAGAACCCAAUAUCCUCUGUGAUUCACUGUGUCUAGAAAUUGAUCGAUCGCAACCUUGGAAGCACUCGACGACUACUCUCUGCAGUAGACAAUUCUGAUCGUUUUCAAGCGCCUGCCCAAAAAACAGGAUUAGAGGGAGAGAGCAUAGGACCAUUCAGGUUUAUUUUCACGCUUUAAUCUUCAGCAUUGGCAUUGCUGGCUUCACUUCAGACCAAAGAAAAUGCUGAACUUUUCAAUAUUAUAUCACCAGUGCAAUUAUUUAUGCAUCUUCUUUCAGAAGUCAACCGAGUAAUCUUUUUCUACUUGUAUGCUGUCUGUGGGAUUUUUGCUUGACUCAAAAUGGGCAACAUUUGUCUGUACACCAAAUCAUAGGGAUAUUGUACAAAGCAAUAUAGUGUCACUGCCGUCAUUUGUUGGCACAAAGUCAUUAUUGUAAAUUACUGGGCCAAUUGUAUUUGAUCUGAUUCCAUUGUUAUAGCAUCAGUAGAUAAAGUCACUUUUUUUUGGAUGUUGUAAUUCCUCAAGAGCCGCAUUAUAGGAUUUUGGUCGCUUUCUGAAUUUGUACUCCCCAUUGAUGCCUUGUCCUAAUUUUUCUAUAAUAUCCUGUGUGUGUAUGUGUGUAAUCGAUGUGUUCUGUCUGCUAUCCAGUUAUUUGCAUGUCUUUAAGAUAAAAUAGUCUGAAAUUGUUUGUUGAA
Molecule: RNA transcript, 4878 nt
Organism: Amblyraja radiata (thorny skate)
Lineage: Eukaryota; Metazoa; Chordata; Chondrichthyes; Rajiformes; Rajidae
Gene: stk16
Gene name: serine/threonine kinase 16
Exons: 9
Source: RefSeq, a predicted model, not a curated record